This 77-nucleotide transfer RNA is filed under the name Paenibacillus hunanensis. Its description in RNAcentral is "tRNA-Lys". It matches the Rfam family "tRNA". Rfam says of the family: Transfer RNA (tRNA) molecules are approximately 80 nucleotides in length. Their secondary structure includes four short double-helical elements and three loops (D, anti-codon, and T loops). Further hydrogen bonds mediate the characteristic L-shaped molecular structure. tRNAs have two regions of fundamental functional importance: the anti-codon, which is responsible for specific mRNA codon recognition, and the 3' end, to which the tRNAs corresponding amino acid is attached (by aminoacyl-tRNA synthetases). tRNAs cope with the degeneracy of the genetic code in two manners: having more than one tRNA (with a specific anti-codon) for a particular amino acid; and 'wobble' base-pairing, i.e. permitting non-standard base-pairing at the 3rd anti-codon position. The record is from RNAcentral. Lineage: Bacteria; Bacillati; Bacillota; Bacilli; Caryophanales; Paenibacillaceae.
UGGGGCAUUAGCUCAGCUGGUAGAGCAUCCGACUCUUAAUCGGCAGGUCGUAGGUUCGACCCCUACAUGCCCCAUCC